This 912-nucleotide ribosomal RNA is filed under the name uncultured bacterium. RNAcentral describes it as "bacterial SSU rRNA". It matches the Rfam family "Bacterial small subunit ribosomal RNA", at positions 8 to 916 of the family's 1533-position model. The record is from RNAcentral.
AGAGUUUGAUCCUGGCUCAGAUUGAACGCUGGCGGCAUGCUUUACACAUGCAAGUCGAACGGUAACAGGGAGCUUGCUCCGCUGACGAGUGGCGAACGGGUGAGUAAUAUAUCGGAACGUACCCAAGAGUGGGGGAUAACGUAGCGAAAGUUACGCUAAUACCGCAUACGAUCUAAGGAUGAAAGCAGGGGACCGCAAGGCCUUGUGCUCCUGGAGCGGCCGAUAUCUGAUUAGCUAGUUGGUGAGGUAAAGGCUCACCAAGGCAACGAUCAGUAGCUGGUCUGAGAGGACGACCAGCCACACUGGAACUGAGACACGGUCCAGACUCCUACGGGAGGCAGCAGUGGGGAAUUUUGGACAAUGGGGGCAACCCUGAUCCAGCAAUGCCGCGUGAGUGAAGAAGGCCUUCGGGUUGUAAAGCUCUUUUGUCAGGGAAGAAACGGGUGGGGCUAAUAUCCCCAUCUAAUGACGGUACCUGAAGAAUAAGCACCGGCUAACUACGUGCCAGCAGUUGUGGUAAUACGUAGGGUGCAAGCGUUAAUCGGAAUUACUGGGCGUAAAGCGUGCGCAGGCGGUUUUGUAAGUCUGUCGUGAAAUCCCCGGGCUUAACCUGGGAAUGGCGAUGGAGACUGCAAGGCUAGAGUUUGGCAGAGGGGGGUAGAAUUCCACGUGUAGCAGUGAAAUGCGUAGAGAUGUGGAGGAACACCGAUGGCGAAGGCAGCCCCCUGGGUCAAGACUGACGCUCAUGCACGAAAGCGUGGGGAGCAAACAGGAUUAGAUACCCUGGUAGUCCACGCCCUAAACGAUGUCUACUAGUUGUCGGGUCUUAAUUGACUUGGUAACGCAGCUAACGCGUGAAGUAGACCGCCUGGGGAGUACGGUCGCAAGAUUAAAACUCAAAGGAAUUGUCGG